GCCGAGGUGGCAGAGGUGGUCAACGCACCGGUCUGAAAAACCGGCAAUGUCGGUUCGACUCCGACCUUCGGCA
This 73-nucleotide transfer RNA is filed under the name Patescibacteria group bacterium. RNAcentral describes it as "tRNA-Phe". It matches the Rfam family "tRNA". Rfam says of the family: Transfer RNA (tRNA) molecules are approximately 80 nucleotides in length. Their secondary structure includes four short double-helical elements and three loops (D, anti-codon, and T loops). The record is from RNAcentral.